CCUACGGGGGGCAGCAGUGGGGAAUAUUGGACAAUGGGGGCAACCCUGAUCCAGCCAUGCCGCGUGUGUGAAGAAGGCCCUCGGGUUGUAAAGCACUUUCAGUGAGGAAGAACGCCUGGUGGUUAAUACCCAUCAGGAAAGACAUCACUCACAGAAGAAGCACCGGCUAACUCCGUGCCAGCAGCCGCGGUAAUACGGAGGGUGCGAGCGUUAAUCGGAAUUACUGGGCGUAAAGCGCGCGUAGGUGGCUUGAUAAGCCGGUUGUGAAAGCCCCGGGCUCAACCUGGGAACGGCAUCCGGAACUGUCAAGCUAGAGUGCAGGAGAGGAAGGUAGAAUUCCCGGUGUAGCGGUGAAAUGCGUAGAGAUCGGGAGGAAUGCCAGUGGCGAAGGCGGCCUUCUGGACUGACACUGACACUGAGGUGCGAAAGCGUGGGUAGCAAACAGGAUUAGAUACCCUGGUAGUC
RNAcentral lists this ribosomal RNA (465 nucleotides) under Vreelandella stevensii. Its description in RNAcentral is "partial 16S ribosomal RNA". It matches the Rfam family "Bacterial small subunit ribosomal RNA", at positions 338 to 795 of the family's 1533-position model. The record is from RNAcentral. Lineage: Bacteria; Pseudomonadati; Pseudomonadota; Gammaproteobacteria; Oceanospirillales; Halomonadaceae.